Mauremys mutica (yellowpond turtle) is the source of this 870-nucleotide long non-coding RNA. RefSeq lists it as uncharacterized. Lineage: Eukaryota; Metazoa; Chordata; Testudines; Geoemydidae. The record is from RefSeq and is a predicted model, not a curated record. The transcript is spliced from 4 exons.
GACAUUGCUCAGAAAGUGGAUACUCUGGAUUAGGGAGGUGACCUCUCCAUGCCUGUUCCACUGUCCUCUCCUCACUUCUACCUACUCAAUUAAUGGUCUGGGAAUCUCGCAUUUUCCCCAUGCAGUGGGGUGAUCUGGCCCUAGCCACUAUCAGGUAAAAGUUGGUCCCAAAGUUUACAAGACACCAUAGAAAGAACACAGGAGUUGCCAUGUCGGAACAGACCAAUCAUCAUCUAGUCUGGUAUCCUGUCUCUGACAACAGCCAAUUCCAAAUACUUCAGAAGAAGGGGAAGUAAACAGGGGGAAGGAACACCCAUAAGAAUUCCAUUUCUGACUGAUGGUCUCUCCUGAGAGGUCUGAUUUGUGUGGAGAAUGGCCUGGCAGCUUGUAAAAUCCUGGAAUAUAUGGAAUCAUGGUGUUAACAGGAAGCUGUGAAACGUGACACACAAUGAGAGUCUAGGAGGAUACCAUUCAGUGCUCCAUGAUUCUUCACAGAAUCUUUCACAAAAAGAAUGAAGCAAGAUGAUUGCACAGUGAAAUAAAACAGAGCAGAGGGAGAGAGAAAUAAGAUGCUGUGUAGACCUGCGGGGAAAGCUAUAUUUUCUGAUUAUUUUCUGAGAGAUUUUUCUUGUUUGAGUCCCAUCAAUGUGUACAAAGUGAUUCAGGAGCAUGUUUUGUUAAUUCAACUUGUCUCUGAAGGAAAUGAUUUGUGAUCAUCAUCUGCUUUUUCCUCUUCGACAAUAGCAGACAGAAGACACUUUGAUGUCAAAACACAAAAGACAUUACUGCAUGGCAUGUGUUUUUUUUGGGCAGGCAAUGGGCUAUGGUGAAAUAUAAUAAAGCAUUUUAACAAUAAAUGGUCUGGCAUGA